Molecule: ribosomal RNA, 266 nt
Filed under: uncultured prokaryote
Description: partial 16S ribosomal RNA
Rfam family: Bacterial small subunit ribosomal RNA
Source: RNAcentral
UACGUAGGUGGCAAGCGUUGUCCGGAUUUACUGGGCGUAAAGGGAGCGUAGGCGGACUUUUAAGUGAGAUGUGAAAUACCCGGGCUCAACUUGGGUGCUGCAUUUCAAACUGGAAGUCUAGAGUGCAGGAGAGGAGAAUGGAAUUCCUAGUGUAGCGGUGAAAUGCGUAGAGAUUAGGAAGAACACCAGUGGCGAAGGCGAUUCUCUGGACUGUAACUGACGCUGAGGCUCGAAAGCGUGGGGAGCAAACAGGAUUAGAUACCCCU